This 831-nucleotide ribosomal RNA is filed under the name uncultured Bacteroidota bacterium. RNAcentral's name for it is "bacterial SSU rRNA". It matches the Rfam family "Bacterial small subunit ribosomal RNA", at positions 54 to 879 of the family's 1533-position model. The record is from RNAcentral. Lineage: Bacteria; Pseudomonadati; Bacteroidota.
CAUGCAAGUCGAGGGGUAACAGAAAAAAGCUUGCUUUUUUGCUGACGACCGGCGAACGGGUGCGUAACACGUAUGUAACCUACCUAUAACUGGGGAAUAGCCUACUGAAAAGUGGAUUAAUACGCCAUAAUAUGUAUUUAAGGCAUCUUUUAUACAUUAAAGCUUUGGCGGUUAUAGAUGGACAUGCGCAACAUUAGCUUGUUGGUGAGGUAACGGCUCACCAAGGCAACGAUGUUUAGGGGGUCUUAGAGGAUGAUCCCCCACACUGGUACUGAGACACGGACCAGACUCCUACGGGAGGCAGCAGUGAGGAAUAUUGCGCAAUGGAGGAAACUCUGACGCAGCCAUGCCGCGUGCAGGAAGACGGUCUUAUGGAUUGUAAACUGCUUUUGUAUGCCAAGAAACCUUAGUACGUGUACUAAGCUGACGGUAGCAUACGAAUAAGGAUCGGCUAACUCCGUGCCAGCAGCCGCGGUAAUACGGAGGAUCCAAGCGUUAUCCGGAUUUAUUGGGUUUAAAGGGUCCGCAGGCGGAAAAUUAAGUCAGUGGUGAAAUCCUACAGCUUAACUGUAGAACUGCCAUUGAUACUGGUUUUCUUGAGUACAAAUGAGGUGAGUGGAAUGUGGCGUGUAGCGGUGAAAUGCAUAGAUAUGCCACAGAACACCAAUUGCGAAGGCAGCUCACUAACAUGUAACUGACGCUGAGGGACGAAAGCGUGGGGAGCGAACGGGAUUAGAUACCCCGGUAGUCCACGCCGUAAACGAUGAUCACUCGAUGUUGGCGAUAUACUGUCAGUGUCUGAGCGAAAGCAUUAAGUGAUCCACCUGGGGA